RNAcentral lists this ribosomal RNA (468 nucleotides) under uncultured bacterium. RNAcentral's name for it is "partial 16S ribosomal RNA". It matches the Rfam family "Bacterial small subunit ribosomal RNA", at positions 28 to 507 of the family's 1533-position model. The record is from RNAcentral.
GAUGAACGCUGGCGGCGUGCUUAACACAUGCAAGUCGAACGGAAAGGCCCAAGCUUGCUUGGGUACUCGAGUGGCGAACGGGUGAGUAACACGUGGGUGAUCUGCCCUGCACUUCGGGAUAAGCCUGGGAAACUGGGUCUAAUACCGGAUAGGACGAUGGUUUGGAUGCCAUUGUGGAAAGUUUUUUCGGUGUGGGAUGAGCUCGCGGCCUAUCAGCUUGUUGGUGGGGUAAUGGCCUACCAAGGCGUCGACGGGUAGCCGGCCUGAGAGGGUGUACGGCCACAUUGGGACGGAGAUACGGCCCAGACUCCUACGGGAGGCAGCAGUGGGGAAUAUUGCACAAUGGGCGCAAGCCUGAUGCAGCGACGCCGCGUGGGGGAUGACGGCAUUCGGGUUGUAAACUCCUUUCGCUAGGGACGAAGCGUUUUUGUGACGGUACCUGGAGAAGAAGCACCGGCUAACUACGUG